RNAcentral lists this long non-coding RNA (457 nucleotides) under Chinchilla lanigera (long-tailed chinchilla). RNAcentral describes it as "lncRNA (ENSCLAG00000025942.1)". Lineage: Eukaryota; Metazoa; Chordata; Mammalia; Rodentia; Chinchillidae. The record is from RNAcentral.
UUGUGCCGUGGUUCUGGAAAAUUACUGCUGUAGCACACCCAUAUCCGGUCUCCCACUGUGGGCCGGGAGCAGGGCUGGCUGUCGCUUGUGACCGGGGAGCGCGGUUCCUCGGAGCACGGGGAUGUUCACUACGGAUUCCAUGCUGCCCAGAACAAGGGGAGCUGCAAAUGCCUGGAGUGGCUUCGAGCCCUCACAGCCCAGCAAGUCCACAGCAGAGGAGGUGCCACGCGACACCACUGUGGUUAUUCAAAGGAAGCCACGGAGAAAAGCAGAGAAGACAGUGUGUCAAAACUGACAGAAAACCCCAUUACUGCAGCCCAGAGAACGGCAGGUGAGAGACAGAAAUAACAGCAACCACAUGGGCUAAAGCACUGUGCAUUAUCAAAGAAUUAGAACAUUCUAAAUGUUUUAAAAACAUUUCCUUCUUGUUUAAAAAUAUUUAGAGCUUUAAAAAUGU